This 72-nucleotide transfer RNA is filed under the name Phrynosoma platyrhinos (Desert horned lizard). RNAcentral describes it as "tRNA-OTHER". Lineage: Eukaryota; Metazoa; Chordata; Lepidosauria; Squamata; Phrynosomatidae. The record is from RNAcentral.
GCCAGCAUGGUGUAGUGGUUUGGGCAUUGGACUAGGACUCUGGAGACCAGGGUUCGAAUCCUGGCUCAGCCG